Molecule: ribosomal RNA, 715 nt
Filed under: Lentilactobacillus hilgardii
Lineage: Bacteria; Bacillati; Bacillota; Bacilli; Lactobacillales; Lactobacillaceae
Description: bacterial SSU rRNA
Rfam family: Bacterial small subunit ribosomal RNA
Source: RNAcentral
GGGAGACUUGAGUGCAGAAGAGGACAGUGGAACUNCAUGUGUAGCGGUGAAAUGCGUAGAUAUAUGGAAGAACACCAGUGGCGAAGGCGGCUGUCUGGUCUGCAACUGACGCUGAGGCUCGAAAGCAUGGGUAGCGAACAGGAUUAGAUACCCUGGUAGUCCAUGCCGUAAACGAUGAGUGCUAAGUGUUGGAGGGUUUCCGCCCUUCAGUGCUGCAGCUAACGCAUUAAGCACUCCGCCUGGGGAGUACGACCGCAAGGUUGAAACUCAAAGGAAUUGACGGGGGCCCGCACAAGCGGUGGAGCAUGUGGUUUAAUUCGAUGCUACGCGAAGAACCUUACCAGGUCUUGACAUCUUCUGCUAACCUAAGAGAUUAGGCGUUCCCUUCGGGGACGGAAUGACAGGUGGUGCAUGGUUGUCGUCAGCUCGUGUCGUGAGAUGUUGGGUUAAGUCCCGCAACGAGCGCAACCCUUAUUGUCAGUUGCCAGCAUUUAGUUGGGCACUCUGGCGAGACUGCCGGUGACAAACCGGAGGAAGGUGGGGAUGACGUCAAAUCAUCAUGCCCCUUAUGACCUGGGCUACACACGUGCUACAAUGGACGGUACAACGAGUCGCGAAACCGNGAGGUCAAGCUAAUCUCUUAAAGCCGUUCUCAGUUCGGAUUGUAGGNUGCAACUCGCCUACAUGAAGUUGGAAUCUGCUAGUAAUCGUGGAU